UACGAGGGGGGCAAGCGUUGUUCGGAAUUAUUGGGCGUAAAGGGUGCGUAGGCGGUGCGGUAAGUCUGUUGUGAAAUCUCCGGGCUCAACUCGGAGUCUGCAUCAGAAACUGCCGUGCUGGAGUGUGGGAGAGGUGAGUGGAAUUCCCGGUGUAGCGGUGAAAUGCGUAGAGAUCGGGAGGAACACCUGCGGCGAAAGCGGCUCACUGGACCAUAACUGACGCUGAUGCGCGAAAGCGUGGGGAGCAAACCGG
RNAcentral lists this ribosomal RNA (253 nucleotides) under uncultured bacterium. RNAcentral's name for it is "partial 16S ribosomal RNA". It matches the Rfam family "Bacterial small subunit ribosomal RNA", at positions 524 to 776 of the family's 1533-position model. The record is from RNAcentral.